Molecule: ribosomal RNA, 301 nt
Filed under: uncultured bacterium
Lineage: Bacteria
Description: partial 16S ribosomal RNA
Rfam family: Bacterial small subunit ribosomal RNA
Source: RNAcentral
CAGUAGCCGCGGUAAAACGAAGGGUGCAAGCGUUACUCGGAAUUACUGGGCGUAAAGCGUGCGUAGGUGGUGGUUUAAGUCCGUUGUGAAAGCCCUGGGCUCAACCUGGGAAUUGCAGUGGAUACUGGGUCACUAGAGUGUGGUAGAGGAUAGUGGAAUUUCCGGUGUAGCAGUGAGAUGCGUAGAGAUCGGAAGGAACAUCUGUGGCGAAGGCGACUAUCUGGGCCAACACUGACACUGAGGCACGAAAGCGUGGGGAGCAAACAGGAUUAGAUACCCGCGUAGUCCCUGUCUCUUAUAC